CCUACGGGAGGCAGCAGUGGGGAAUAUUGCACAAUGGGGGAAACCCUGAUGCAGCAACGCCGCGUGAGUGAAGAAGUAUUUCGGUAUGUAAAGCUCUAUCAGCAGGGAAGAAGAAAGACGGUACCUGACUAAGAAGCCCCGGCUAACUACGUGCCAGCAGCCGCGGUAAUACGUAGGGGGCAAGCGUUAUCCGGAUUUACUGGGUGUAAAGGGAGCGUAGACGGCUGUGCAAGUCUGAAGUGAAAGCCCGUGGCUCAACCGCGGAACUGCUUUGGAAACUGUAUAGCUGGAGUGCAGGAGAGGUAAGUGGAAUUCCUAGUGUAGCGGUGAAAUGCGUAGAUAUUAGGAGGAACACCAGUGGCGAAGGCGGCUUACUGGACUGUAACUGACGUUGAGGCUCGAAAGCGUGGGGAGCAAACAGGAUUAGAUACCCUUGUAGUC
RNAcentral lists this ribosomal RNA (441 nucleotides) under uncultured bacterium. Its description in RNAcentral is "partial 16S ribosomal RNA". It matches the Rfam family "Bacterial small subunit ribosomal RNA", at positions 338 to 795 of the family's 1533-position model. The record is from RNAcentral.